CCCCUAGAUGUUCUGGGCCGCACGCGCGCUACACUGAACAGUUCAACAAGUCUUAACCUUGGCCGAUAGGUCUGGGUAAUCUUUGAACGCUGUUCGUGAUUGGGAUAGACCUUUGCAAUUAUGGGUCUUCAACGAGGAAUUCCUAGUAAACGCAAGUCAUCAGCUUGCAUUGAUUACGUCCCUGCCCUUUGUACACACCGCCCGUCGCGCCUACCGAUUGAAUGGUCCGGUGAAAUCUCCGGACUGGCGUGAGUCGGAGCAAUCUGACAAACGCCGGAAAGUUGAUUAAACCUUACCAUUUAGAGGAAGGUGAAGUCGUAACA
Molecule: ribosomal RNA, 323 nt
Filed under: uncultured eukaryote
Lineage: Eukaryota
Description: partial 18S ribosomal RNA
Rfam family: Eukaryotic small subunit ribosomal RNA
Source: RNAcentral